This 270-nucleotide ribosomal RNA is filed under the name uncultured bacterium. Its description in RNAcentral is "partial 16S ribosomal RNA". It matches the Rfam family "Bacterial small subunit ribosomal RNA", at positions 28 to 295 of the family's 1533-position model. The record is from RNAcentral.
GAUGAACGCUAGCGGCAGGCCUAAUACAUGCAAGCCGAACGGUAAGUUUGAUAGCAAUAUUGAACCUAGAGUGGCGUAAGGGUGCGUAACACGUAUGCAAUCUACCCGCAACAGGAGGAUAGCUCCCCGAAAGGGGAAUUAACCCUCCAUGAGAUCACACGAGGGCAUCUGAGGGUGAUUAAAUCUGAGGAGGUUGCGGAUGAGCAUGCGUCUGAUUAGCUAGUUGGUAGUGUAAAGGACUACCAAGGCGAUGAUCAGUAGGGGAACUGA